AUCAAAGUGUUAUCCUGGAAUUCAAGUGAAGACAGUGUUUCAAAGUGGAAAUGAACAGUGUCCUGUAACCCUCAGAGUGAGACUAGAGUCAGAAUGCAGGCUUUUCUCAUUUGAAAUCUAUAUGCCACAGAGAGGAUCCAGAGAGCCCAUCUCCGGUCAGUUAUCUGUAUUUGUAUGUCAACUACAGCAUCAAAAAGCAUAGGCAUGGAUACUAAGGACCCCCUCUGUACACCAACGCCAGUCCAAAGGACAGUGUGUCACUGUGAACUGGAAAUUCAUCUCUCUUCUUCAAUUUUUUUCUACCUACUUUAUGCUUUAUCUCUAAGUUGAGGCUGUUUAUGGCCUCAUCCUCAAUUACCUUGUCCCUCAUUACUCCCAGUUAAUGGAGAUUAAGCUUUGUAUCAUGACUUCCUAACUAAAAUUGAAAUCACAAGACAUCACAUAAAUAAAGUUACAAAUGGAUUAGA
Molecule: long non-coding RNA, 467 nt
Filed under: Homo sapiens (human)
Lineage: Eukaryota; Metazoa; Chordata; Mammalia; Primates; Hominidae
Description: non-protein coding lnc-RWDD3-7:7
Source: RNAcentral